RNAcentral lists this unclassified non-coding RNA (455 nucleotides) under uncultured Glomus. RNAcentral's name for it is "SSU rRNA". It matches the Rfam family "Eukaryotic small subunit ribosomal RNA", at positions 569 to 1026 of the family's 1831-position model. The record is from RNAcentral. Lineage: Eukaryota; Fungi; Glomeromycota; Glomeromycetes; Glomerales; Glomeraceae.
AGCAGCCGCGGUAAUUCCAGCUCCAAUAGCGUAUAUUAAAGUUGUUGCAGUUAAAAAGCUCGUAGUUGAAUUUCGGGGUCUGUCCGUCGGUCGGGCUUCACGGUCCGUACUGGUGUGAUGGGUUCCUACCUUCUGAAUAACCGGCAUGCCAUUCAGUUGGUGCGCCGGGGAAGCAGAGCUAUUACCUUGAAAAAAUUAGAGUGCUUAAAGCAGGCUAGUGCUUGAAUAGAUUAGCAUGGAAUAAUAAAAUAGGACGGCAUGGUUCUAUUUUGUUGGUUUCUAGGAUCACCGUAAUGAUUAAUAGGGAUAGUUGGGGGCAUUAGUAUUCAAUUGUCAGAGGUGAAAUUCUUGGAUUUAUUGAAGACUAACUUCUGCGAAAGCAUUUGCCAAGGAUGUUUUCAUUAAUCAAGAACGAAAGUUAGGGGAUCGAAGACGAUCAGAUACCGUCGUAGUCU